GCCUACGGGGGGCAGCAGUAGGGAAUCUUCCACAAUGGGCGAAAGCCUGAUGGAGCAACGCCGCGUGGGUGAAGAAGGUCUUCGGAUCGUAAAACCCUGUUGUUAGAGAAGAAAGUGCGUGAGAGUAACUGUUCACGUUUCGACGGUAUCUAACCAGAAAGCCACGGCUAACUACGUGCCAGCAGCCGCGGUAAUACGUAGGUGGCAAGCGUUAUCCGGAUUUAUUGGGCGUAAAGGGAACGCAGGCGGUCUUUUAAGUCUGAUGUGACAGCCUUCGGCUUAACCGGAGUAGUGCAUUGGAAACU
Molecule: ribosomal RNA, 305 nt
Filed under: uncultured bacterium
Lineage: Bacteria
Description: bacterial SSU rRNA
Rfam family: Bacterial small subunit ribosomal RNA
Source: RNAcentral